This 382-nucleotide long non-coding RNA is filed under the name Phaseolus vulgaris (common bean). RNAcentral's name for it is "long non-coding RNA (PVUL_LNC000792)". Lineage: Eukaryota; Viridiplantae; Streptophyta; Magnoliopsida; Fabales; Fabaceae. The record is from RNAcentral.
AACUUUUAUUGAACAAAACCUCAGAACUCAAUGGGGAAUUACAAAAGAAUCAACCAAAAAGGUUUAGCCUUCCAUGCGGAGGCAAAACAAAAGAAUUACUAAGAAGAAAAUAAACUAAGAAAACCCUACGAAGCUCUCUCUUUUCUCCUUGAUGCUUGUGUCCUUUUAUAGGCUUUUCUGCUCCAAGGAUCUUGAGAGAAUAUUGUAGUGUAUAUUUUGUUAACCGUUUCCAAGUUUCUAUCUUUCCAUAAUUCUUGUAUUUUGCAGAAGAUUUGCUUCCAAUUCUGUUUCUGAGAUAUUGUAGAUUUUAUUUUCUCUUUCUUCUCCUCAGAAUUUGUUUCCUGUUUUGGUUCAAGAAGCAACUUGGACUUUUGCAUAUUUG